RNAcentral lists this ribosomal RNA (634 nucleotides) under uncultured bacterium. RNAcentral describes it as "bacterial SSU rRNA". It matches the Rfam family "Bacterial small subunit ribosomal RNA", at positions 28 to 674 of the family's 1533-position model. The record is from RNAcentral.
GACGAACGCUGGCGGCGUGCUUAACACAUGCAAGUCACGGGGGCCCGCAAGGGUAACCGGCGAACGGGUGCGUAACACGUGAGCAAGCUUCCGAUUUGUGGGGGAUAGCCGGCCUAACGGCCGGGUAAUACCGCAUACGUUCACUGGACGGCAUCGUCUGGUGAGGAAACCUCCGGGGCAAAUCGAGGCGCUCGCGGCCUAUCAGCUAGUUGGCGGGGUAACGGCCCACCAAGGCGACGACGGGUAGCUGGUCUGAGAGGAUGGCCAGCCACAUUGGGACUGCGACACGGCCCAGACUCCUACGGGAGGCAGCAGUGGGGAAUAUUGCGCAAUGGACGAAAGUCUGACGCAGCGACGCCGCGUGUGGGAUGAAGCCUUUCGGGGUGUAAACCACUGUUGCCCGGGACGAAACUCCUUUUUCGAGAGGAUUGACGGUACCGGGUGAGGAAGCACCGGCUAACUCUGUGCCAGCAGCCGCGGUAAUACAGAGGGUGCGAGCGUUGUCCGGAAUCACUGGGCGUAAAGGGCGCGUAGGUGGCUUGGUAAGCGUGUGGUGAAAGUCCGGGGCUCAACCCCGGAUCUGCCGUGCGAACUGCCGAGCUCGAGCAUUGUAGAGGCAGGUGGAAUUUCGGGU